Molecule: long non-coding RNA, 443 nt
Filed under: Oryza brachyantha (malo sina)
Lineage: Eukaryota; Viridiplantae; Streptophyta; Magnoliopsida; Poales; Poaceae
Description: long non-coding RNA (OBRA_LNC000130)
Source: RNAcentral
GGAGGAAGCGCCUUCGCCGUGAUCUGCCGAGGGCAGUGGUGCAGAGGGACGCAACACCGGACUUCUGCCGGCUAUUGCUGUGGAGUUUGUUGAAGUUUCGCCGUCGGCAGUGGGUGGUGGUGGUGGUGUUCCGAGGCGGCGAAGGACGUUGAGGCGUCCAUUCUAUUGAUUUCUUGCCGGUGCGCCGUUGUUCUGGUUCUGGUGAUUUGCGCCAAGACGACGACCACCGCGAGGGCCAUGGUGACGUCCAGAGCCUCUAACAGGACGAAGUCCAGGGCGUCCAAACCGGUGAAGGCCACGGCGACCAAACUGGCGACGACUGAAGUUGAGGCGGAUGCCGCGAAGGGGACGGAGUCGUCGUCCUCCAUUCUGUGCAGCAGGAAUCAAGAACAAGAGAAAUUAUGAGUUUUCCAUGCUUACCAAUGAAAAAUUUCAAUCCUUUG